UCUAAAUGACUGGAGAGAGAACAGUUUUUCUUUGCUUUUUCGUCAAGCGAUUGUUGUCGCUCUUUACUCCUUGUUCUUUCCUCUACAAAUCUCCUGUAGUCGUCGAGGGCCUUCAUAAUGGCUGUGAAAUUGGCUGCCCACUAUAAAACUCCGUGUUUGAGAGUGCUUUGAAGAUUCUUCGCCUCCUGAUGGAUCAAAGUACGAGCGCUCCCUGUGGAUUCGAUUAUAUGUAGGAAGUGACUGUCUGAUGUAUCUGCACCAGAUCCUGGGGAAAUGAAGUCAGAUGCAAAGGCAGGGUCGUCCAGUGAUGCAACACUGCCGUUCUAUGUGCAACGUCACCGCUAAUUCCCCCGGCGAAAACACAAACACGUGAAGAGA
Long non-coding RNA from Sycon ciliatum, 378 nucleotides. RefSeq lists it as uncharacterized. The record is from RefSeq and is a predicted model, not a curated record. Lineage: Eukaryota; Metazoa; Porifera; Calcarea; Leucosolenida; Sycettidae. The transcript has 2 exons.